AUGAACGCUGGCGGCGUGCCUAAUACAUGCAAGUCGAGCGAACAGACGAGGAGCUUGCUCCUCUGACGUUAGCGGCGGACGGGUGAGUAACACGUGGAUAACCUACCUAUAAGACUGGGAUAACUUCGGGAAACCGGAGCUAAUACCGGAUAAUAUAUUGAACCGCAUGGGUCAAUAGUGAAAGACGGUUUUGCUGUCACUUAUAGAUGGAUCCGCGCCGCAUUAGCUAGUUGGUAAGGUAACGGCUUACCAAGGCGACGAUGCGUAGCCGACCUGAGAGGGUGAUCGGCCACACUGGAACUGAGACACGGUCCAGACUCCUACGGGAGGCAGCAGUAGGGAAUCUUCCGCAAUGGGCGAAAGCCUGACGGAGCAACGCCGCGUGAGUGAUGAAGGUCUUCGGAUCGUAAAACUCUGUUAUUAGGGAAGAACAAAUGUGUAAGUAACUAUGCACGUCUUGACGGUACCUAAUCAGAAAGCCACGGCUAACUACGUG
This 496-nucleotide ribosomal RNA is filed under the name uncultured bacterium. Its description in RNAcentral is "partial 16S ribosomal RNA". It matches the Rfam family "Bacterial small subunit ribosomal RNA", at positions 29 to 507 of the family's 1533-position model. The record is from RNAcentral.